This 526-nucleotide long non-coding RNA is filed under the name Chinchilla lanigera (long-tailed chinchilla). RNAcentral describes it as "lncRNA (ENSCLAG00000027722.1)". The record is from RNAcentral. Lineage: Eukaryota; Metazoa; Chordata; Mammalia; Rodentia; Chinchillidae.
CCUGUACAGUCAUUAGGAGAUUCUGCUAAGAAGACUCACUGUCUCUUCCUGAUCCAUCCUUCCUGAAUGGUCUUUGUACCACCCAUGCCUACAGGAGGUCUUUACUCCUCUUCUUUGACCGCGCCCGCUUGGUCCCACUGUUCUGACCCAGAACCUGUUUUCUCCCUCUCGUGCUCUGGCCCUUGUGUGCAGUGCAAUCGUUCCCUGUUUGGGUACAGCAGUCAGCGUGGCAGAAGGACGGCAGCCUCUUCAGGUCCCUGUAAGCUUUCCUCUUCUGUAUUCUCCCUCUCUGUCUGGUGCAUUGUAUGUCUCCCAGACUCACUCAGGCUUCUCAUGGGUAAUGUAAGAAACAAAGACAAAUCCUCAAUAGUUUACCCGAUUCAUAUGAGUAUUGUGCACAGAAUAACCAAAACAAAAUAAAAAUGACGAUGGCAAAAAUUGUAUUUGGUAAGAUUUGUUUUUUAACCAAAAAAUUAACAAAAUAUUACAGACUUUAUGAUUUAUAUAAAACUCAGACUUUACUGAU